GGCAGUGUUGUUCAGUGGAUAAAGCACACUGGCCUGUGAGUCAUGAAAUCUGGAUUCUAUUUCCAGCUCUGCCA
RNAcentral lists this transfer RNA (74 nucleotides) under Chelonia mydas (Green sea turtle). It matches the Rfam family "tRNA". Rfam says of the family: Transfer RNA (tRNA) molecules are approximately 80 nucleotides in length. Their secondary structure includes four short double-helical elements and three loops (D, anti-codon, and T loops). Further hydrogen bonds mediate the characteristic L-shaped molecular structure. tRNAs have two regions of fundamental functional importance: the anti-codon, which is responsible for specific mRNA codon recognition, and the 3' end, to which the tRNAs corresponding amino acid is attached (by aminoacyl-tRNA synthetases). tRNAs cope with the degeneracy of the genetic code in two manners: having more than one tRNA (with a specific anti-codon) for a particular amino acid; and 'wobble' base-pairing, i.e. permitting non-standard base-pairing at the 3rd anti-codon position. Lineage: Eukaryota; Metazoa; Chordata; Testudines; Cheloniidae. The record is from Rfam by way of RNAcentral.